UGAGUGCGCCAAGUCCAUUUCUGCAUCCAUUUCGUGCAGAAACAACUCUGACUCAGUUCGACACUCACCAGAUGUGUCGACCAGUUACUAACACUGUAUCCAAUCCUAUCCAAACCUUCGGAACACUACAAUGCGGACCACCCCGGCCCGGCACGGCCUCGGGCCAGGCUACAGUCCGGCACGGGUACUGUAGAACUAGUACCGG
This 205-nucleotide long non-coding RNA is filed under the name Ananas comosus (pineapple). Its description in RNAcentral is "long non-coding RNA (ACOM_LNC025805)". The record is from RNAcentral. Lineage: Eukaryota; Viridiplantae; Streptophyta; Magnoliopsida; Poales; Bromeliaceae.